AAAGGGCUGCUGAGCUGAGCAUCUGUGAGGCUGUACUACACUGAAGGGCCUGCAUGAGCGACGGUGUGGAGGGAGAAGACCCAUAAGACAGUUACCAGAGGGACCAGCCCAGACAGAGAAGGGGCAGGGGACAGAGCCAUUCAGCUGGAGCCAUACUGAAGAGGAGUUGGAACUUUUUCCAGGGCCAUCAUUUAUGAUCAGUGGAGUCACAUGAUCUCCUUGGAGGCUGGGACACUGCUUAAUCCUUUCUCAUCUCCCCAGAACCUAACCUGAUAUUUGGCACUGUAAUAGAAAGUGCACAACAAAUGUUUAUUGUCCAAACCAGCGGGGAUCUCUGGCUCCGAGGAUGAUCUGGCAGCAGAAGGAGGCUGGUUUGGGUGUGGGGAAGAGGUAGGGUGGGUCAAACAGAGGUGGGGCCAUGAGAAAGGGGCAUUCACUCAGAGAACCACUGUCAGCUGGAGAAAAACAAAAUGAAACCAAACUAUUUUUCCCAGGCCUUGAGGCAGAACUUUCUUUUUCUAGAAGCCAGAUGAAAGAAAGAAGAGACCAGGCAUGGUGGCUUAUGCCUGUAAUCCCAGCACUUUGGGAGGCUGGGGUGGGCAGAUCACAAGGUCAAGAGAUCAAGACCAGCCUGACCAAUAUGGUGAAACCCCAUCUCUACUAACAUUACAAAAAUUAGCCAGGCAUGGUUGCGUGUGCCUGUAAUCCCAGCUACUCGGGAGGCUGAGGCAGGAGAAUUGCUUGAACCCGGGAGGCAGAGGUCGCAGUGAGCCCAGAUCCCGCCACUGCACUCCAGGCUGGGAAACAAAGCAAGCCUCUGGCUCAAAAAAAAAAAAAAAAAAAGUACAGGAAGCAGAGAGGGGGUGAGAGGAAGGGAGAAACAGGGUGGAAGGGGGAGGGGGAGGGAGAGGGGGAGACAGGAAGAGGAGCAAAGAUAGCAAUUCUUAAGGCCUGUUAUCUAUUAGUUACCCUUGCCUUGGCGGCAGACACAGCUGAGUCCUAACGCAGACUUUUCCAUAUCCCCUCUCCCGCCUCAACAGUGAUCUCUCCUCCCACUUCGAGAGUUAAUUCAGUGCUGCUUUAGCUUUACGCCCCCAUGAAAACAGGAAAACGGUUUGCAGCUUUAUCAUAACCUUGCUUAUGUCUGUUGUUGUAUGUCUCAAAUACCCUGUCCUCAGGAAGGCCCACCAACGCUGGCCGGCCUCCAAGCACCCGGGCCUCUGCUCAUGUACAGCUCCUGAACUGCCCUGCCUCUGAGUUACUGUAAGUCCCCGCCCACUCGAGAGCACACGACCAGUCUCACCCCCAAUUUUAAAAUGGCAGCCCCCUUGCCUUUAUUUAUAGACAGGUGCUUUCCAAUCCUUAAGUGAUUUUUUAGUGAACAGGUCAUAAAGUUUCCUGUCAUGGCAUGAGGUGGAGGGGACAGCCCUCAGAGAGGGGUGUGGGGACCGUGGCUGGCGGUCACAUCACACCGGCCUCUCCCGCCUGCAGCCUUGCCCUUUGCAGAUGACUCAGGUGGGGAAAGCUCAGAAGGAAAGCCACCAAGUCCGGAUGCCCCACCCCACACGCAGAAUCUAGCUUCUCAGGGAAAGCAAGAAGGGGAUGCUUCAGGGGACUUUGCUGAGGCCAACCUUUGGCAUCUUUUUUGAAAAGACAUUUGUGUCCGUUUGCUCAUUUUUUUCAUGAUCAAGGAGGGUCCUCCCAGGCUGCCCUUGGCGGACCCCUUUCCUUGUACCCCGUCCACCUUGUCCUCUGGCUUCCAGCGGGUCCACUCCUCUUUCCUGCUUCCUAAACCUCGCCCAGAGCCUGCGACCCUCUCACCCUGGCCCAAACUCCCAGACACAGAUUUGCAGCAGCGCAGCCAAUGAUGUUUUCUUUAUGUGACUUCCUGGGACACUGCUUAGUGCCUCCUCCCAUGUCUUCCUUGGGCUGCAGCAUCUCUCAGGGCUCACAGAGGCCCCUCUAACUCCAAGGGGACUUCUUGGUCUGUUUCACAGGCCAGGAGACGGUGUUCGGAUACAUCCCCGCUGUAUGUUUCAUCCAUGGCAGUCUGGCCUUCCCAUGAAGAGCCUCUGUGUGAGCAAAUUGAAAAUAGGGCUUCUUGCCCCAACCUUCCAUGGAAAUGGCUAUGGUUUCAGUCUCCAUAAAGGUUACUUGCUCUUUUUCUGAAAAUCCAAAAGGACAGUGUUAACUCUUUGUACAAAUUGCACUGGCCAUUUGGUCUUAGCGCAAACUUUUUGGACCAUGUUUCAUUUUCGUUUUGAGGUGAAAGAAAAUAUCAAAGCCUCCUAGCAUUUUGAAACUCCUCAAAUAUCAAGUGCAAAACUGCUGAUGGGAUCAAAGAUGCCGGCUAAAUUCUUGGCCAAUAAGAUAAGACUCUUUCCUGUCAACUGACAAGCAAUACAUGAAUAUGUGCAGGGUAGCUGAUAAUCUAUGAAAUUAUCGGCUGGGUACAGUGGCUCACGCCUGUAAUCUCAGCACUUUGGGAGGCCAAGGUGGGUGGAUCACCUUAGGUCAGGAGUUCGAGACCAGCCUGGCCAACAUGCUGAAACCCUGUCUCUACUAGAAAUACAAAAAUUAGCCAGGCAUGGUGGCAGGCACCUGUAGUCCCAGAUACUUGGGGAGGCUGAGGCAGGAGAAUGGCUUGAACUCGGG
RNAcentral lists this long non-coding RNA (2655 nucleotides) under Homo sapiens (human). RNAcentral's name for it is "HSALNT0331759". The record is from RNAcentral. Lineage: Eukaryota; Metazoa; Chordata; Mammalia; Primates; Hominidae.